This 264-nucleotide ribosomal RNA is filed under the name uncultured bacterium. Its description in RNAcentral is "partial 16S ribosomal RNA". It matches the Rfam family "Bacterial small subunit ribosomal RNA", at positions 28 to 295 of the family's 1533-position model. The record is from RNAcentral.
GUUGAACGCUGGCGGCGUGCCUAACACAUGCAAGUCGAGCGGUAACGCGGGGGCAACCCUGGCGACGAGCGGCGGACGGGUGAGUAACGCUUAGGAAUCUUCCCAGUAGUGGGGAACAACCCGGGGGAAACUCGGGCUAAUACCGCAUACGCCCUCGGGGAAGGCGGGGACCGUAGGCCUCGCGCGUAUUGGAUGAGCCUAAGUACGGAUUAGCUAGUUGGUAGGGUAACGGCCUACCAAGGCGACAAUCCGUAGCUGGUCGGA